RNAcentral lists this microRNA precursor (130 nucleotides) under Prunus dulcis (almond). Its description in RNAcentral is "sRNA ncRNA". Lineage: Eukaryota; Viridiplantae; Streptophyta; Magnoliopsida; Rosales; Rosaceae. The record is from RNAcentral.
GGAAAGAUGAGAGAGGAGGAUGAGACGGAGAAGUAACAAAAAUGAAAACCAAAACUAAAAACUGAAAUCUAUUUAAAAUUGUUUUCACUUUUGUUACUCUUCCCUCUCAUCUUCCCUUCUCAUUCUCUCU